Molecule: small nuclear RNA, 107 nt
Filed under: Neogale vison (American mink)
Lineage: Eukaryota; Metazoa; Chordata; Mammalia; Carnivora; Mustelidae
Source: RNAcentral
GUGCUCACUUCAGCAGCACGUAUUCUAAAAUUGGAAUGAUACAGAGAAGAUUAGCUUGGCCCCUGCACAAGGAUGGCACACAAAUUCAUGAAGCAUUCCAUAUUUUU